GUGGGGCUCGAUCCCAGGACUCUGGGAUCAUGACCUGAGCCAAAGGCAGAGGCUUUAACCCACUGAGCCACCCAGGCGCCCCUGAUUGGUUCUUCCUAACCCUUUGCCUGACUGUCAGCAACUGGCCCAGCCUGGGAUUACCAGAUGCUGGAUGUUGUAUGUGGAGAUGUUUUUCACCUUUAAACUCUAAGCCAGGUAUAGAUAAAUCCUUGAUACGUGUCUAUUUUAUAUCAGUCACUGAGACAUUUUUUAAGUUUCUAUUUAUUGAAACAACUUUACCAAAAAAAAAAAAAACGUCCCC
Long non-coding RNA from Lontra canadensis (Northern American river otter), 301 nucleotides. RefSeq lists it as uncharacterized. The transcript has 3 exons. The record is from RefSeq and is a predicted model, not a curated record. NCBI's taxonomy places the organism in Eukaryota, Metazoa, Chordata, Mammalia, Carnivora, Mustelidae.